GAUGAAGAACGUAGCGAAAUGCGAUAAGUAGUGUGAAUUGCAGAAUUCAGUGAAUCAUCGAAUCUUUGAACGCACAUUGCGCCCCUUGGUAUUCCAUGGGGCAUGCCUGUUCGAGCGUCAUUUGUACCUUCAAGCUUUGCUUGGUGUUGGGUGUUUGUCUCGCCUUUGCGUGUAGACUCGCCUUAAAAUAAUUGGCAGCCGGCGUAUUGAUUUCGGAGCGCAGUACAUCUCGCGCUUUGCACACAUAACGACAGCGUCCAAAAGUACAUUUUACACUCUUGACCUCGGAUCAGGUAGGGAUACCCGCUGAACUUAAGCAUAUCAAUAAGCGGAGGA
Molecule: unclassified non-coding RNA, 336 nt
Filed under: soil metagenome
Description: partial contains 5.8S ribosomal RNA, internal transcribed spacer 2, and large subunit ribosomal RNA
Rfam family: 5.8S ribosomal RNA (bases 1-120)
Source: RNAcentral